GAUCCUCCCACCAAAUCGACGCUCCAAACGCUCCUAUCCGUCCACACCAUCGCGCUCCAAUCGCGCUGCAUCCGCUUCUCUCCGCCCUGGCUUUCCGGCUUCCGCGCGCCCGCUCGCUUUUCGCCGUCCUUCCUCUCGCCCGCUCGCCCUCGCCGUCCUCCUCGACUAGCUGUUCCUCCCCGCCGUCCCACCGUCCUCCCCCACCGUCCCGCGCUGCCGCCGCCAUCGAUCCUCCCCGCCGCCCACGCCGUCCUCCACCAGAUCGCUCCCCCACUGCCGCCGCCAUCGAUCGCCCCCGCCGUCCUCGUCGCCGCCAUCGCCCCGAUCUCUCCACCGAUUUGCUCCGACCGUGCCGAUCUCCUCCGUGCCACCGUCGGUACUCCCUCACCAAUCUGCUCCGCCCACGCCGAUCUCUCCCAUCCGCGUCGCCAGCGAGGGCCACCCCACCAAUCUCCUCCGUGCCACCUCUGGAACACCCGCGCCCGCGUCGCCGACGACCUAGAAGAAAAAAAAAGUUCAGAUUGUCGAAGCAAAGCUGACUGGACACCAUGCCAAUUGCUAUUGUUUACUGCACAAUCAAGGAGAUUUUUGGCUGAUUCUACUAAAUUUCUGUUUGGUAAAGCAUGCUGUGAGGAUUGUUUAGCUGGCUUACACACAUUAAGACAUGGAUACCAAUAUUGGGGGCUCCACACCAACAUCGUUAACAAGAUCAUUCCAAAUGUACUGGUCAAUUCAUAAUCGAUCAGCAGGCCUGGAAUUUGUCUCAAG
RNAcentral lists this long non-coding RNA (768 nucleotides) under Oryza sativa Indica Group (long-grained rice). Its description in RNAcentral is "lncRNA OsMH63_03G041380". Lineage: Eukaryota; Viridiplantae; Streptophyta; Magnoliopsida; Poales; Poaceae. The record is from RNAcentral.